RNAcentral lists this ribosomal RNA (450 nucleotides) under uncultured bacterium. Its description in RNAcentral is "partial 16S ribosomal RNA". It matches the Rfam family "Bacterial small subunit ribosomal RNA", at positions 354 to 796 of the family's 1533-position model. The record is from RNAcentral.
GUGGGGAAUAUUGGACAAUGGGCGAAAGCCUGAUCCAGCCAUGCCGCGUGUGUGAAGAAGGUCUUCGGAUUGUAAAGCACUUUAAGUUGGGAGGAAGGGUAGUAACCUAAUACGUUGCUACUUUGACGUUACCGACAGAAUAAGCACCGGCUAACUUCGUGCCAGCAGCCGCGGUAAUACGAAGGGUGCAAGCGUUAAUCGGAAUUACUGGGCGUAAAGCGCGCGUAGGUGGUUCAGUAAGUUGGAAGUGAAAUCCCCGGGCUCAACAUGGGAACUGCUUUCAAAACUGCUGAGCUAGAGUACGGUAGAGGGUGGUGGAAUUUCCUGUGUAGCGGUGAAAUGCGUAGAUAUAGGAAGGAACACCAGUGGCGAAGGCGACCACCUGGACUGAUACUGACACUGAGGUGCGAAAGCGUGGGGAGCAAACAGGAUUAGAAACCCGGGUAGUCC